Long non-coding RNA from Rhineura floridana, 551 nucleotides. RefSeq lists it as uncharacterized. The transcript has 2 exons. Lineage: Eukaryota; Metazoa; Chordata; Lepidosauria; Squamata; Rhineuridae. The record is from RefSeq and is a predicted model, not a curated record.
ACUCCACUCAAAAAAGGAGUCUUAAAUGUACCUCAGGCUACAAGACAAAGUAUAAAAAGCUCAUCCUCUAGAGUGCUUCCAAAAACCUUCCCUUCACUUCUGCUUCUUAGAGAACUAGAUCCACCUCUGAACCUCAAAGAUGUCUGGUGGUCCCAGUGGAGUGCCCAACAAUUGCUAUGCCCAGUGUCCGGCAUCAACAGUGACCAUCCAGCCACCACCUUUUCGACUAAUCAUCCCAGGGCCGGCUCUCUACUGCCCCGACCAGCCUUUCGGCAUUCAGCAGAAUAACCCAUGCAUUCGUGGCGGAGUGGGCAGCAAUGGUGGCUCCAGCUUGUCUGAGUUCUACUCCCAGUCUCUGCCAAGCUGCGCUUUCAACUACAGCAGCCACCGCUUUUAAACCAAAGGGAAACAGCUAUGGAAGAAGGAUAAGGUGGGAGAAAAAAUAACAGCAAGAGGAAACAGAGCCAAACCAGUCGCUGCAACAUUGAACAUCCAAAGUCACAAUUGGCACAAGCCAUAAACUGUGAUGUCUGAGUCAUUUGGGGGGGGGG